CGCCUGUUUAUCAAAAACAUCGCCUCUUGCUAACAAACCAUGUAUUAGAGGUCCCGCCUGCCCCGUGACUAUAUGUUUAACGGCCGCGGUAUUAUGACCGUGCAAAGGUAGCGUAAUCACUUGUCUCCUAAAUAGAGACCCGUAUGAAUGGCAUGACGAGGGUUUGACUGUCUCCCGCACCCAGUCAAUGAAAUUGAUCUGCCCGUGCAGAAGCGGACAUAAAAACAUAAGACGAGAAGACCCUAUGAAGCUUUAGGCCGAAGAUCAAACAUGUAAAGAGACUAAAAACUCAAAAGACAAAUAAAUAGAUUUAAACUGAUUGUGAUAUGAUCUAAGUACCUUCGGUUGGGGCGACCACGGGGGAAAACAAAGCCCCCGAAUGGAAUGAAUUUAUUUCCAAGACAAGAACCACAAUUCUAAGCAACAGAAAAUCUGACCAUUAUAAUGACCCAGGAAUAGACUACAUUCCUGACCAAUGAACCAAGUUACCCUAGGGAUAACAGCGCAAUCCUUUCCCAGAGGCCAUAUCGACGAAAGGGUUUACGACCUCGAUGUUGGAUCAGGACAUCCUAAUGGAGCAGCCGCUAUUAAGGGUUCGUUUGUUCAACGAUUAAUAGUCCUACGUGAUCUGAGUUCAGACCGG
This 643-nucleotide ribosomal RNA is filed under the name Muraenesox cinereus (daggertooth pike conger). RNAcentral describes it as "partial 16S ribosomal RNA". It matches the Rfam family "Bacterial large subunit ribosomal RNA", at positions 1797 to 2619 of the family's 2925-position model. Lineage: Eukaryota; Metazoa; Chordata; Actinopteri; Anguilliformes; Muraenesocidae. The record is from RNAcentral.